This 17-nucleotide unclassified non-coding RNA is filed under the name Mus musculus (house mouse). Its description in RNAcentral is "oocyte_clustered_small_RNA3422". The record is from RNAcentral. Lineage: Eukaryota; Metazoa; Chordata; Mammalia; Rodentia; Muridae.
AGGAGAGACAGGUGGUU